AACGAACGCUGGCGGCAGGCCUAACACAUGCAAGUCGAGCGGACCCUUCGGGGUUAGCGGCGGACGGGUGAGUAACGCGUGGGAACGUGCCCUUUGCUUCGGAAUAGCCCUGGGAAACUGGGAGUAAUACCGGAUACGCCCUUUUGGGGAAAGAUUUAUCGGCGAAGGAUCGGCCCGCGUUGGAUUAGGUAGUUGGUGGGGUAAUGGCCUACCAAGCCGACGAUCCAUAGCUGGUUUGAGAGGAUGAUCAGCCACACUGGGACUGAGACACGGCCCAGACUCCUACGGGAGGCAGCAGUGGGGAAUCUUAGACAAUGGGGGAAACCCUGAUCUAGCCAUGCCGCGUGAGCGAUGAAGGCCUUAGGGUUGUAAAGCUCUUUCACCGGGGAAGAUAAUGACGGUACCCGGAGAAGAAGCCCUGGCUAACUCCGUG
RNAcentral lists this ribosomal RNA (433 nucleotides) under uncultured bacterium. RNAcentral's name for it is "partial 16S ribosomal RNA". It matches the Rfam family "Bacterial small subunit ribosomal RNA", at positions 29 to 507 of the family's 1533-position model. The record is from RNAcentral.